AGUUAACGCUAGCGGCGUGCUUCAGGCAUGCAAGUCGAACGAGAAAGUUCUUUUCGGAGAGCGAGUAAAGUGGCGCACGGGUGAGUAAUACUUAGAUUACCUACCCUCUCGCUGGGGAUAACUGGGGGAAACCCCAGCUAAUACCGAAUGACCCGGCAACGGGAAAGCCUUAGGGCGCGAGAGGAGGGGUCUAAGCCCCAUUAGCUUGUUGGCAGGGUAAAAGCCUACCAAGGCAACGAUGGGUAGCUGGUCUGAGAGGAUGUCCAGCCACACUGGAACUGAAACACGGUCCAGACUCCUACGGGAGGCAGCAGCUAGGAAUAUUGCGCAAUGGAGGAAACUCUGACGCAGCAACGCCGCGUGAAUGAUGAAGGCCUUCGGGUUGUAAAGUUCUUUUAGUUAGGAAGAAAUCAAUGACGGUACUAACAGAAAAAGCACCGGCAAACUUCG
This 450-nucleotide ribosomal RNA is filed under the name uncultured Pseudomonadota bacterium. RNAcentral's name for it is "bacterial SSU rRNA". It matches the Rfam family "Bacterial small subunit ribosomal RNA", at positions 29 to 505 of the family's 1533-position model. The record is from RNAcentral. Lineage: Bacteria; Pseudomonadati; Pseudomonadota.